Molecule: transfer RNA, 75 nt
Filed under: Chloroflexi bacterium RBG_13_46_14
Lineage: Bacteria; Bacillati; Chloroflexota
Description: tRNA-Cys
Rfam family: tRNA
About the family: Transfer RNA (tRNA) molecules are approximately 80 nucleotides in length.
Source: RNAcentral
GGCGACGUAGCCAAGUGGUAAGGCAGAGGUCUGCAAAACCUCUAUUCACCGGUUCGAAUCCGGUCGUCGCCUCCA